This 496-nucleotide ribosomal RNA is filed under the name uncultured bacterium. RNAcentral describes it as "partial 16S ribosomal RNA". It matches the Rfam family "Bacterial small subunit ribosomal RNA", at positions 28 to 506 of the family's 1533-position model. The record is from RNAcentral.
GAUGAACGCUGGCGGCGUGCCUAAUACAUGCAAGUCGAGCGAACAGACGAGGAGCUUGCUCCUCUGACGUUAGCGGCGGACGGGUGAGUAACACGUGGAUAACCUACCUAUAAGACUGGGAUAACUUCGGGAAACCGGAGCUAAUACCGGAUAAUAUAUUGAACCGCAUGGUUCAAUAGUGAAAGACGGUUUUGCUGUCACUUAUAGAUGGAUCCGCGCCGCAUUAGCUAGUUGGUAAGGUAACGGCUUACCAAGGCGACGAUGCGUAGCCGACCUGAGAGGGUGAUCGGCCACACUGGAACUGAGACACGGUCCAGACUCCUACGGGAGGCAGCAGUAGGGAAUCUUCCGCAAUGGGCGAAAGCCUGACGGAGCAACGCCGCGUGAGUGACGAAGGUCUUCGGAUCGUAAAACUCUGUUAUUAGGGAAGAACAAAUGUGUAAGUAACUAUGCACGUCUUGACGGUACCUAAUCAGAAAGCCACGGCUAACUACGU